Molecule: ribosomal RNA, 773 nt
Filed under: uncultured Neocallimastigales
Lineage: Eukaryota; Fungi; Neocallimastigomycota; Neocallimastigomycetes; Neocallimastigales
Description: partial large subunit ribosomal RNA
Rfam family: Eukaryotic large subunit ribosomal RNA
Source: RNAcentral
GUACACGCUGUGACUAGCAUAUCAAUAAGCGGAGGAAAAGAAACUAACAAGGAUUCCCCUAGUAACGGCGAGUGAAGCGGGAAGAGCUCAAAUUUGAAAUCUUAAAGGGUUUCCCUUUACGAAUUGUAGUUUAAAGAAGUGUUUUCUGUUGAGGUUUUGGUAAAAGUUCUUUGGAAUAGGACAUCAUAGAGGGUGAGAAUCCCGUAUUUGACCUUUACUUUCAACUUUGUGAUACACUUUCAAAGAGUCGGAUUGUUUGGGAAUGCAGUCCAAAAUGGGUGGUAAAUUUCAUCUAAAGCUAAAUAUUGGCGAGAGACCGAUAGCGAACAAGUACCGUGAGGGAAAGAUGAAAAGAACUUUGAAAAGAGAGUUAAACAGUACGUGAAAUUGUCAAAAGGGAAGCGUUUGACACCAGUGUUGUUUUUCUGAAAAUCAAUUAAAGAACUGUUUAUGCUAAGCUGUUUAGACUUUAUCAGCUAUCUGUUUAGUUUUGAGCUUUUCUUUAAUGCACUUUUCAGUUAACAAGUCAACAUCAAUUUCUUUUGCUGUAAAAAAGCUUGAGGAAGGUGGCUUGAGAUUCGUCUUAAGUGUUUAUAGCCUCUUGCCUAUGCAGUCGGAGAGAUUGAGGUCUGCAGCGUAGAUCCUUCGGGGCUAAAUGCAUUUGUGCUAAGUUAUAGCAUUUUAUAGACAACUUGCUGACUAUGAUUUGUCUUGUAGCUUACUCGCUUAUGUUAUUUUACCUACGCUUAGGAUGUUGAAGAUGUAGCACAUCA